UACGUAGGGGGCAAGCGUUGUCCGGAAUUAUUGGGCGUAAAGAGCUCGUAGGCGGUUUGUUGCGUCGGCUGUGAAAUCCCGAGGCUCAACCUCGGGUCUGCAGUCGAUACGAGCAAACUAGAGUGUUGCAGGGGAGACUGGAAUUCCUGGUGUAGCGGUGAAAUGCGCAGAUAUCAGGAGGAACACCGGUGGCGAAGGCGGGUCUCUGGGCAACAACUGACGCUGAGGCGCGAAAGCGUGGGGAGCAAACAGG
This 253-nucleotide ribosomal RNA is filed under the name uncultured bacterium. RNAcentral describes it as "partial 16S ribosomal RNA". It matches the Rfam family "Bacterial small subunit ribosomal RNA", at positions 524 to 776 of the family's 1533-position model. The record is from RNAcentral.